RNAcentral lists this long non-coding RNA (1992 nucleotides) under Pongo abelii (Sumatran orangutan). RNAcentral describes it as "lincRNA". Lineage: Eukaryota; Metazoa; Chordata; Mammalia; Primates; Hominidae. The record is from RNAcentral.
GCCUGCUGAGAUGCAUAAAGAAAUCUUAGCUGGAAUGCCUUCUCAGAAUCUUGAUUUUCAAAGUGAUGGAUUGGGAGAUCCCAAGCCAUGAAUAAAGGGUGCUCAUCACAGAUGGAACAAUGGCGAGAGCACACCUGGACAGGGGAGGGGCAGGAGUUCUGAUUCCUGACACAGGUUUCCUGGUUGAAUGUUGCUGUUGUGGAAGAAUGCAACUGAGUUUUAUAAGCAGAUCUUGUUCCUGACAUCCUUGCUGAAUGAAAGUGACCGGCCCUCCCUAAGACUCAGUGUCCUUACCUCUGAAAUGGAGCUGUCAAUCACAUCUGCCUCACAGGCUUGUUCUGAGGAUGAAGUGAGAAAAUGCCCACAAGGUGCUGGUUGCAGCAGCUGGUGAGUAGAGCUUAAAAAGGAUGCAGUCCCAAAACAUAGAAGGAUUUACUCCAGAUCCAAGCAGUGAGUCAGGAACAGAAAGCCUGAUGCCCUCACCUGGAACUCUCCCUCCUCCCUGGAUAAGGACCUUCCCCAGAAUUGCAGGGCACCCACACAAGACCAAGCAAGUUCAGAGAAAAGUGAAACCUGACUUUAGAGCCUCUGGGAUGUUCACUACACCUCAUUGAACCUGUUUGGUUCACAGAGCUCCAACUACCGUCUACUCCCUGCAACUGGCCUGCUGCCAACGCCCCAGAUCUCUUGUGGAGCUGCCGGAAGAGACAGCCUGCCACAGAAGAAAGCAGCCCUCCUUUUUCAUGGCCUCCCACAUCUCGAAACAAACAAAAGCAAACAAAACAAAAGCUUGAGUCCCAGCCUGAUUCACCAGGUUUGGUUCCCAAUUGUUGAAAUUCCCUUCCCAGGGCUCUCAGAACCAGGGUUGGCUGGAGGGGUGAAAGAGGCUGGCCCUGAGCCCAAUAAUAGGAUACCAAGCGGGAGCUAAAAGCUGGGAUCUGGGGUGAAGAUGGGGUCUUCCAAGCUGGGAGGCAGACACCAGGCCAGAGCAACCAGCCUGCCCCAGCUCAGGCCUCUUAACCCAUGCAGAGCAAGAGUAUAAACAGAGGCCACGGACCACAUGCCUCAGUAUUUAAAGUUAUAAAUCGAGCUAACGUAACAUGAAAUCAAAUAUGUUCUAUCCUCCUAGCUUGACAAAUACUUUCAUAACGAGAUGGAAUGCCAGGUUCAGAUUUAGAAUUUUCACACUCCUUAAAGUUCCAAGUCAAAAUACAGCAUUAGGGGAGGGCCCCCAACCUGGAGGUCUCCCCUCCUCCAUUUUCUUUCACUCCCAGCUCUGUCUCACACACCACAAGGGAUCUUGGGUGAAUGCCCCUCGAUACCCCAGCCCCCCACAAACAGCUGCCCUUUCCCCCCUUGGCCAAGGGUAAGCACAGCAGCAGGGCAGUCUGCCCUUGGCUGAAGAGAUGGAAGGAGAGGCAACACGGGCCCUGAAAAUGCAUUUGGGGACUCUUGGGCAGGGAAUUUGGGAGUUUCUGGAGCCUCAAGGAUGGUCUAGUGGGACAGAGCCACUUGGCCCAUGAGCUCCUUGACUCAUGGGGAAGGGUAGGGCUAGAGGAGGGCCAGAGCAGGCCUUAUGAACAGAAGAACCUAGAGUAACUGCCCUGUCCCCAGAUCCUGUCACCGAGCGGGCAUACUUGGGAGGGUAUUGGAGAGUGGAACCCAAGGGAGCUUGCCCAAGGCACAAGGAAAAAAAAGUGUAAACCUUGUUAGAGAAUGCUAAGGAUAGCGGUUAAAGCCUCAGAGAUUCUACUCAUUUUUGGCUCUUUCUAAAAAUCUUCCCCCAAAGGAAGAUCUUGCUCUCAUUGAGGAUCUGAGAAAGAAUUCUCUCCAAGUAGUUUCAAAACAUUCUGAUGGAAAAACUCUGGUGUGUUAGUCAAAAAUAAAUUUUGUUUAUUUUUGCUUGAUGGCUUCACCAUUCACAAAAUAUUCUAUCCAUCCAAUUUAAAAAUAAGAGCAGGGUAUUGAAAACUCUUUCAAUAAACACAAAAC